GGGGAUUUAGCUCAGUGGUACAGUGCUUGCCUGAUAAGCUUGAGGUCCUGAGUUCAAUCCCCAGUAUGUCCA
This 72-nucleotide transfer RNA is filed under the name Cavia porcellus (domestic guinea pig). It matches the Rfam family "tRNA". From Rfam's summary of the family: Transfer RNA (tRNA) molecules are approximately 80 nucleotides in length. Their secondary structure includes four short double-helical elements and three loops (D, anti-codon, and T loops). Further hydrogen bonds mediate the characteristic L-shaped molecular structure. tRNAs have two regions of fundamental functional importance: the anti-codon, which is responsible for specific mRNA codon recognition, and the 3' end, to which the tRNAs corresponding amino acid is attached (by aminoacyl-tRNA synthetases). tRNAs cope with the degeneracy of the genetic code in two manners: having more than one tRNA (with a specific anti-codon) for a particular amino acid; and 'wobble' base-pairing, i.e. permitting non-standard base-pairing at the 3rd anti-codon position. The record is from Rfam by way of RNAcentral. Lineage: Eukaryota; Metazoa; Chordata; Mammalia; Rodentia; Caviidae.